UUAGAAGGAAUUGAAGAGGAGAUAAAUAUGGUAUUUCUAAUCCGAUCUUGUUUAAAUUAUUUAUGAAUUAUGAACACUGAUUUGAUGUUUUCUUUUUCUAGCAAUAUCUAUCACGGCAUAAUAAUUCUCCGUGAAAAUGUAAAAAAUGAUAGAAUUAGGUGAAGAAAAAUAAGAAAAGUUAUUAUGUAGUCAGAUGCACAACACAGGUACAUUAGUUUCUACAUUAUUCAGAAAAAAAUAAUAAAAAAAAUUGUUUCUACACAGUGAUCUCGUUUCAAAUUCUUGCCCUUUACUUUUAGUUUAUUAUUUUUUAAUUAUCUACCAAUUUAUUUGGGUCUGCUAGUCAUUCAUUGUGCGGGCUUUUCCUCAUAUCUUUUACGGUUCUAACACUGUUUGAUUUACACUUUAGAGUAGAGAAAUAAUUUGAAAAAAAAUAAAUUUUAAAAUAGAAAUAAAGAAGUUUUAUUCUGUUGUUUGUUUUUGUACUGAGUAAGAAGUAGAGUAAAAAUAAUACUGUGAAAAGUUGAUUGGUAUGAAUGAAAAUAGGAAUGACAGAAAUAAACAGACACAUAAAAAUUCAUUAAGUUGCACAACCAAUUAAUUAUGAUGCAUAUAUUAAGUUGGUAAAGAAAAUCAUUGUGUAAAUGAAAUUAUAGAUCAUUUUUGUUAUUCAAAAUUUUUUUGUGAAGGCAAAAAUUUGCUCAUGCAAAAAUAUUUUUUUUAUUCUCAUAAAUGUGAAAAUAUUAAAAAUUUAUUUCUGUAAAUUUUUUAAUAUGUUUUUUCUUGUAAUUAUUUUUAACAUGAACGUAAAUUUAGAUAAAUUCAAACCUACAAGAAUGAGUUUUUAGACCAACUAUGCAUACAAUUAAUGUAAAUAUGAUAUUUUUAUAUUGAUUAGACAUAUAACAAAUAUAAAAUAUGACUUUUUGCAUCAAUUAUGAAUUUAACCAAUGCACAAAAUCGAUGUAUGUAGGUUUGGAUGUCUAAUUUUGUUUCAAAAAAAAAAAGACAAAUUUUAAUUUUAUGAGAAUAAUGUUUUUUUACUGAAACAAAUUUUAAACAUUUUGUAUUUUUUAACAUGAAAAAUAUAUCUUAACCUUAAAUUUAAUUCACUAUAAACUCGGUGGUAGCAAACUCCUACUGCUCAUCUCUGUGGUCGAGAUUUUAUUUUCGUUGUCAUUAGUACCAAACACAACAUAAACUUAUUUGGGUAAAGCUUCAUACACCACAUGAAAAUAAGGAACACUUCUUUUACAUUUUGAGUUAUCUUUUUCAUAAUGUAAGAAAGUGUUCCUUGAUUUCUACCGGCUGCAAGAAGAAAUACCCCUUUGUUUUUUGUAUGGACUCUUUCUCAUUCGUUCCGAAUCCAUUAUAUCCAUUGGUUCGGGGUUGGAUUUAACCCAAAUUUCACUAAGAAGAUAAAAACUUAUUUUGAUUAUUAAUCUAUUUCUUUGAUCCAAUAGCAUGUUUUUUGUAACAAACAUAAAAAAUUAAUGAUAGGUUCUGAUAGAAAUUAAAUGCAAAAUGUAAAAUAAGUGAUGCAAUAAUAAAUAAUUAUGUACAUGGCUUAAAAUUAUAAACUCAGCAAAAAAAGGCUUAACUUAUACUUCCUUGGUCCCAUUAUAAGUGCCCAGUAAGAAAAAAAAAUGGUCUCCAAAUAUUAAUGAUAGAUAACAAAAUUUACAAAUGAAUGAUGAUAUUAGAUUAAUUUUAUAAUUUUUUUCAUAUAUUAUUUUUUAUUUAUCUAUAUAAAAUAAUCAAAGAUAAUAAAUACAUUUAAUAACGAAAAAAUAAAGUGCAUUUUAACAUUUCUACAACUAUUAUUUUAGUUCAGGAGAGCACUUUGUUUUAUGAAUUUAUUGUUAUCUCAUUUGUCUUCACCCACAAAAAAAGUUGGUAUUCCAUUUGAUGAUUUUUUAAAAAUAAAUAUUUAAUAAUUGAUUUGGAAGUUUUUAUUUUAUUUAUUUUUACCAUUAAACUAUUUCAACCAAAAAGAAACUUGGUUAAUAUCAGAAUUUGAUCUUUUUGAUUCUUAUAAUUUUGGGAUCACAUUUAUCUUAUUUGACAUAAAAAAUUAAACUUGUGAAUAAAUUUAAAGAAAGACUAAAAUCAAAAUAAAAAAUAAUUAAGAAGACCAAAAAUACUAUUUUACCUAUCAUUUUAAUUUGAGAGUUCAUUUUAAUUUGAGAGUAAGUAGCACAAUUUCAUAAUUUCAAAUUUAUUUCCUUUUAUCUACUUUCUUAUUUAGUUACUAGAUGAUAACUGUUAAAUAAUUGUGAAUUAAUAGUAAAAAAUUAGUCAAAUUUUGACUUAAAAUUAAUUAUUUAACAGUUAUUUGUGAUUAAAAGCUAGAAAAGUAAUUAAGUUAAAUUUUUUGGCUGCAGAUAUGAAAACUAAAGGUACAACAAGCAAAAGGUGGCAGAAAUUGAAGAAAAAGAAGAAAAUCUGAAUCAAGCCCAGCUCAACACGCGCGUCACACGUUAAGCGUGCAAGGCAACACAGGCGCUAAGCGAGGCGUUAAGCUCGAAGAUGCAUGAUUCGUUACGCGCGCUAAGCGCACAAUCUAACAGAAGCACACGCUAAGCUUGUGGCAGGCGCUAAGCGCACGAUCUGAACGCGCUAAGCGUGCCUUUGAAGGCCCAAAGCUCAUUUCUGCGCCUAUAAAUAGAGAUCCAAGCCAAGGGAGAAC
Molecule: long non-coding RNA, 2689 nt
Filed under: Glycine max (soybean)
Lineage: Eukaryota; Viridiplantae; Streptophyta; Magnoliopsida; Fabales; Fabaceae
Description: long non-coding RNA (GMAX_LNC001351)
Source: RNAcentral